This 358-nucleotide ribosomal RNA is filed under the name uncultured bacterium. Its description in RNAcentral is "bacterial SSU rRNA". It matches the Rfam family "Bacterial small subunit ribosomal RNA", at positions 29 to 414 of the family's 1533-position model. The record is from RNAcentral.
AACGAACGCUGGCGGCAGGCCUAACACAUGCAAGUCGAACGCCCUAGCAAUAGGGAGUGGCAGACGGGUGAGUAACACGUGGGAACGUGCCUUUCGGUUCGGAAUAACCCAGGGAAACUUGGACUAAUACCGGAUACGUGCGAGAGCAGAAAGAUUUAUCGCCGAAAGAUCGGCCCGCGUCCGAUUAGUUAGUUGGUGAGGUAAUGGCUCACCAAGGCGACGAUCGGUAGCUGGUCUGAGAGGAUGAUCAGCCACACUGGGACUGAGACACGGCCCAGACUCCUACGGGAGGCAGCAGUGGGGAAUAUUGGACAAUGGGCGCAAGCCUGAUCCAGCCAUGCCGCGUGAGUGAUGAAGG